AACGAACGCUGGCGGCAUGCCUAACACAUGCAAGUCGAACGAGACCUUCGGGUCUAGUGGCGCACGGGUGCGUAACGCGUGGGAACCUGCCCUUAGGUUCGGAAUAACUCCCCGAAAGGGGUGCUAAUACCGGAUAAUGUCUUCGGACCAAAGAUUUAUCGCCUUUGGAUGGGCCCGCGUUGGAUUAGCUAGUUGGUAGGGUAAAAGCCUACCAAGGCGACGAUCCAUAGCUGGUCUGAGAGGAUGAUCAGCCACACUGGGACUGAGACACGGCCCAGACUCCGACGGGAGGCAGCAGUGGGGAAUAUUGGACAAUGGGCGAAAGCCUGAGCCAGCAAUGCCGCGUGAGUGAUGAAGGCCUUAGGGUUGUAAAGCUCUUUUACCCGGGAUGAUAAGGACAGUACCGGGAGAAUAAGCUCCGGCUAACUCCGU
This 432-nucleotide ribosomal RNA is filed under the name uncultured bacterium. RNAcentral's name for it is "partial 16S ribosomal RNA". It matches the Rfam family "Bacterial small subunit ribosomal RNA", at positions 29 to 506 of the family's 1533-position model. The record is from RNAcentral.